GAAACGACUGCUAAGACUGGAUAGGAGAUAAGAAGGCAUCUUCUUAUUUUUAAAAGACCUAGCAAUAGGUAUGCUUAGGGAAGAGCUUGCGUCACAUUAGUUAGUUGGUGGGGUAAUGGCCUACCAAGACGAUGAUGUGUAGCCGGGCUGAGAGGUCGAACGGCCACAUUGGGACUGAGACACGGCCCAAACUCCUACGGGAGGCAGCAGUAAGGAAUUUUCGGCAAUGGAGGAAACUCUGACCGAGCAAUGCCGCGUGAACGAUGAAGUAUUUCGGUACGUAAAGUUCUUUUAUUAGGGAAGAAAAGAUGGUGGAAAAACCAUUAUGACGGUACCUAAUGAAUAAGCCCCGGCUAACUAUGUGCCAGCAGCCGCGGUAAUACAUAGGGGGCAAGCGUUAUCCGGAAUUAUUGGGCGUAAAGGGUGCGUAGGCGGUUAAAUAAGUUUAUGGUCUAAGUGCAACGCUCAACGUUGUGAUGCUAUAAAAACUGUUUAGCUAGAGUUGGAUAGAGGCAAGUGGAAUUCCGUGUGUAGUGGUAAAAUGCGUAAAUAUACGGAGGAACACCAGAAGCGAAGGCGGCUUGCUGGGUCUUAACUGACGCUGAGGCACGAAAGCGUGGGGAGCAAACAGGAUUAGAUACCCUGGUAGUCCACGCCCUAAACGAUGAGUACUAAACGUUGGAUAAAACCAGUGUUGAAGUUAACACAUUAAGUACUCCGCCUGAGUAGUACGUACGCAAGUAUGAAACUUAAAGGAAUUGACGGGACUCCGCACAAGCGGUGGAUCAUGUUGUUUAAUUCGAAGGUACCCGAAAAACCUCACCAGGUCUUGACAUGCUUUUGCAAAGCUGUAGAAAUACAGUGGAGGUUAUCAGAAGCACAGGUGGUGCAUGGUUGUCGUCAGCUCGUGUCGUGAGAUGUUUGGGUUAAGUCCCGCAACGAGCGCAACCCUUGUUGUUAAUUGCCAUCAUUAAGUUGGGGACUUUAGCAAGACUGCCAAUGAUAAAUUGGAGGAAGGUGGGGACGACGUCAAAUCAUCAUGCCCCUUAUGACCUGGGCUACAAACGUGAUACAAUGGCUGUUACAAAGGGUAGCUAAAGUGUAAGCUUCUGGCGAAUCUCAAAAAAGCAGUCUCAGUUCGGAUUGAAGUCUGCAACUCGACUUCAUGAAGUUGGAAUCGCUAGUAAUCGCGAAUCAGCAUGUCGCGGUGAAUACGUUCUCGGGGUUUGUACACACCGCCCGUCA
This 1245-nucleotide ribosomal RNA is filed under the name Iranian alfalfa witches'-broom phytoplasma. Its description in RNAcentral is "bacterial SSU rRNA". It matches the Rfam family "Bacterial small subunit ribosomal RNA", at positions 153 to 1399 of the family's 1533-position model. The record is from RNAcentral. Lineage: Bacteria; Bacillati; Mycoplasmatota; Mollicutes; Acholeplasmatales; Acholeplasmataceae.